GAUGAACGCUGGCGGCGUGCCUAAUACAUGCAAGUCGAGCGAACGGACGAGAAGCUUGCUUCUCUGAUGUUAGCGGCGGACGGGUGAGUAACACGUGGAUAACCUACCAAUAAGACUGGGAUAACUUCGGGAAACCGGAGCUAAUACCGGAUGAUAUUUUGAACCGCAUGGUUCAAAAGUGAAAGACGGUCUUGCUGUCACUUAUAGAUGGAUCCGCGCUGCAUUAGCUAGUUGGUAAGGUAACGGCUUACCAAGGCAACGAUGCAUAGCCGACCUGAGAGGGUGAUCGGCCACACUGGAACUGAGACACGGUCCAGACUCCUACGGGAGGCAGCAGUAGGGAAUCUUCCGCAAUGGGCGAAAGCCUGACGGAGCAACGCCGCGUGAGUGAUGAAGGUCUUCGGAUCGUAAAACUCUGUUAUUAGGGAAGAACAUAUGUGUAAGUAACUGUGCACAUCUUGACGGUACCUAAUCAGAAAGCCACGGCUAACUACGUG
This 497-nucleotide ribosomal RNA is filed under the name uncultured bacterium. Its description in RNAcentral is "partial 16S ribosomal RNA". It matches the Rfam family "Bacterial small subunit ribosomal RNA", at positions 28 to 507 of the family's 1533-position model. The record is from RNAcentral.